UUACUAGAUUUAAACAUUUAACCAUAAAGCCAAGACAACAAGCAAAUAAGUUAUUACAGAUACGAUCUGCAAUUUCAUGAGAGUAAUAAGAUAUCGUAAAAAGAGGAAACUUCGGUGAAAAUAUCUUCACACUACGCAGUUUCAGUAUAAAUUGUAACGUGGCAAGUGAAAAUUUUGUCCAUUUUAGUUUCUACUAAAUUUUAUUCUGAAAAUCAUCAUAUUUUUUUGAAAUAAAAAAUUGAGCAAAAUGUCACUUUUUAGUCUUGUUAUAAUUUGCUUUACUUGUCUAGCUGGAAUUGGAGAAACUAUGCCUAUAGAUUUCAAUCUUUUUCACUACAUCCCACAAAGUAAGCUAUUUAUCUGUAAUAUUUCAGUAGAAUAAAGACAGAUUUAUUACAUUUGCGAUACAUAUCCGGCAUUUCAGGUACAAUGUGACGCUUAAAUUCCAUUGAUUUUUGCAUGAUCCGAGUUUUAAAAAUGUUAGCCUUUUUUACAAUAUUGCUUAUUUUAGAUUUUUAAUUAUGGAUAAUUAAUGAAACUCAUUGUUGUUUAGUGAUUAACUGGAGGAUGUCAAAUAAAGCACUAUUGCACUGAAUCAUCCUUUAAUAGAAAAAGUUAAUAAUCUAUCAAUAAACAAACAAACUCCAGAAAAUGGUUAUUCGUAAAAAAACAUUUUAAAAAUAGUUGUUAAAACAAAUAAAAACUUAAACUGUUGAAUGAAAGCAUCAUCUCUUGAAGGUGGCCGUCACCGAGGAAAACGAAGUAUCGGGACGAAAUCACGGACGCUGCAACAAUCAUGAUGGCAAAAUAUCGACUCUAAAUAUUGGACAGCAGCCUGUUCCCUCUUAGCCGUGGUUGUCGGUUGUGUUCAUCCGCAGGUAUCCUGGUCUGGUCUUCCUACCCUCGGCUUUCGACCUAAUCCUCGAUCCUUCUACCCCGGAAUUCCAUGAUUUCCAAGAGCUGUAACAAUUAAGAGCUUCUGCACUCAUACAUAAAAUAUUGAUAUAAACUGUUGGAAGCAGCUUCUUUUAGUACAUUAUAUUUUCAUUAUUAAGUAAGUGUUUGGGAUAGAUCCCAGUUAAUAUUAUAGUACUAAUAAGUAUAUAGAGUAUUCUAAGUUGAAACAGAAGAUUACAGAAACAUUUGCUGCCAAAACUAAAGAAGAUUUCACUAAAAUACAGGAGCAAGUAGCCAAUAGGUUGAAUUGCAAAAGAGAUAAUGCUCAUUCUUAACACAUUUAUGAUAAACUAAAAAUGUUACUGUAUUUUCUAUCAUGUAUAUAAUGGACAAAAAAUAUAUGGAACCGGUGUUUUCAUUUUAACUAUAUCUUUGAGAAAUGUACGACAUCGAUAUUCGUAUAGUAUUAUGUGGAUAUCCCUUAGGCAAAUAUUUAUAAAAAUAGAUGCGUAUGGAUAUUUAUUUGAUGUAUAUAUAAUUACUCAUUGCAUCUACACUUAGUAUCUCUUUUUAUAGAUGUCAGAAAUAUUGCUAAAGAUAUUGGAACCUACAUUGAAGAUAUUGGUAUCGGUAUGAAUACGAUUUUGUUUUUAAAUUUCACAAAUACUUAUAUAAUAAAUCAAAACUUGUAAUUAUGAGUUUACAGUGAACUCUCACUUGUGCACCGGUGUAAGG
Molecule: non-coding RNA, 1632 nt
Organism: Parasteatoda tepidariorum (common house spider)
Lineage: Eukaryota; Metazoa; Arthropoda; Arachnida; Araneae; Theridiidae
Source: RefSeq, a predicted model, not a curated record